RNAcentral lists this long non-coding RNA (1960 nucleotides) under Homo sapiens (human). Its description in RNAcentral is "HSALNT0266225". The record is from RNAcentral. Lineage: Eukaryota; Metazoa; Chordata; Mammalia; Primates; Hominidae.
CCGGCCUUUAGUUGGUGGCCUUCAGUGGGUGGCUUAAGUUGGUGGCAUUUGGUUGCCUUUCCUGGGGAGAGGCGGCAGGUGCUCAGCUCUGCAGACGUGGGGGCAAGAGAAGGCCCAAGCUGCCUCGAGAAGAGCAGAGGUGCCCCAUGGGGACCAUGAUGACCGGUCGCAUGUGCCAAAGCCAGCCCCCGGCAGGGCCAGCGCAGGGUUUCUGCGGGGCCGUCCUGUGGCUCUGAUAUCUAUGAGUGGGUGGCCAGCAAAGGCACAGGCACCAGCAGAAAGGAGCAGAGAUGCCCAGAACAUGCUGUCCCCCAAUGCCAGCCCCAAGCGAGGCCAGCUUAGGGUGCGGUGGGCAGAGCCAUCCUGCAGCUCUGAGAUCCACGAAGUGGAGGUGGGAGUAGCGCCAGGCUCCACGGCGUUGGAGCUCUCACAACUUGAGCUCAAUUUUAUUCCGGAGCCAUGACCUGCAGCACAUUGGUGACCAGAAGACGCCCAAAGGCAUUGUGUGAUCAAAGCAAAAUAAAUAUGUUCUUGUUUCUGGAAUUACUAAAGCUUUGAAAAUGGACUUAUCGACCUCAAACCAAUGGGACAUAUUCCUACAUGGCCUUCUCCCCUGUUAGGGUUCCCAGGGUAUGUCUUUAAUGUCUGGUUUAAUAGAAGAAGACUUGGUUCUCCUUUCUGCUUCUAUGUUUAAUUUCUUGUGACAUCCCACGUCAGGUAGCUGGGAAACUCCAAUUAUACUUGUGAGAGAAUGAAAGUGGAAAAGGUAAACAAAACCUGUGUAUUUUUAUGAAAAGACUUUUGCCCUUGCAGAGCCCCUGGAAGGGACUCAGGGACUUCUCAGGGUUCUCUGGCUCAUGUGUUCAUAGAGUAGAGGGUAAGUCCGCAAGAGAAAGCAGUGAUUGGCUGUGGGAGGUCUUGCUGAGAGGUGGUAGAAAAGAGGUUGGAUGUGGAGAAAGUAUGGUCCUUGUUUUCAUUUCUUUUCCCUUUCCUUUGGCCUCUUGUUGCUGGGAUUUCCUCUUUAGAUGACCGUAUCAUAAAUUAGAAACAGCAUUAAUGAACAUUCUUGAUACUGCCUAAUGAAAGUUUUUGUUUUGUCUUCCUGAGUCUUGAUACAUUUCAAGAAGUCUUCUAUCUCAUUUAUUUUUCCCACCCAAAUUUGGAAUUUAGGAAGAGUCGAUAUAGCUAUAUUUAGAUGAUUUAUCUCCCUGAAGACAUUUUGGGAUCAUUUAUAAAUCUCUAUAAAUAAUGCUCUGAUGUCCCUGUAUUUUGUUUAGAGACUGGGUCUUGCCGUGUUGUCUGGAGUGGAGUGGCUCGAGCGUAGCUCACAAUACACAAUACAAUCAAACUCCUGGGCUCAAAGUGAUCCUUCCACUCAGCCUCCACAGUAGCUAGGUCUGCAGGUGUGUGCCAGCACGCCUAGCUUUUGAUUACUAUUAUCAUUUUUGUAGAAAUGGGGGUUUCAUUAUGCUGCCCAGGCUGGUUUUCCGACUCUUGGCCUCAAGUGAUCCUCCUGCCUUCCGUCAUCUGAGGAGCUGAGAUUACAGGUGUAAGCCACCAUGCUGGUCCUGAUGUCAUUUAAAUACAAACAUGAUACUAUAUUCCUUGUAGAAAGUGCUACAUAAAUAUAAUUUUUUUGAAAUAGGGUCUUGCUGUGUCACCCAGGCUGGAAUGCAGUGGUAUGAUCACACUCACUGCAGCCUGGACCUACUGGGCUUAAGCAAUCCUCCCACCUCAGCCUUCCAAGUAGCUGGCUCCUGAGUUAUGAGCCACUAAGCCCAGAGAAUUUUUCAAUUUUUGGUAAAGAUCGGCGUGUCACUGUGUUGUCCAGGCUGGUCUUGAACUCUUAGGCUCAAGUUACCCUCCGCCCAGGUGUCCCAAAGUGCUGGGAUUACAGGCCUGAACCACUGCACCGGGUCCUAAAAAUUCAUUCACUUUCUUUUUUUGUCCACAAGGUACU